CUUGCUGCGGACAGAUCCAGUGAAUAUGGCUAUCGAACCCACCGGCAGUUAUGAUCUUACCCUCAGCCGCGAUGGCUUCGGUACCUGGUCCCACAACAAUAUUGACCCCUGGUUGGGUAUCAGGGUUGCCUGCCUUUCCAAUGGCAAAGAUACAACCAUCCCGCAACCCGAUAUCCGCCUUGUAAAUUUUGUCAACGUCUAGGAUGAGGGCGUUGGUGAUGACCGUGUCGACAGCACCCUGAGCCCGAGAGAACUGGGAUUGCCCCAUCCCAUCACG
Molecule: small RNA, 277 nt
Filed under: marine eukaryotic metagenome
Description: 5' ureB small RNA
Rfam family: 5' ureB small RNA
Source: RNAcentral